Molecule: non-coding RNA, 125 nt
Organism: Hordeum vulgare subsp. vulgare (domesticated barley)
Lineage: Eukaryota; Viridiplantae; Streptophyta; Magnoliopsida; Poales; Poaceae
Source: Rfam
CAACUAGUCCCUCCUUCCGGAAAUACUUGUCGAAGGAAUGAAUGUAUCUAGAUGUAUUUUAGUUCUAAAUACAUCCAUUUUAAUCAAUUUUUGCAACAAGUAAUUCCGGACGGAGGGAGUAUUAU